CGCAUCUGUGCAUGCAGCAUAUCAAUAAGCGGAGGAAAAGAAACUAACAAGGAUUCCCUUAGUAACGGCGAGUGAAGCGGGAAGAGCUCAAAUUUGAAAUCUUCAAGGUUUUACCUUGACGAAUUGUAGUUUAAAGAAGUGUUUUCUGCUGAAGUUUUGGUAAAAGUUCUUUGGAAUAGGACAUCAUAGAGGGUGAGAAUCCCGUAUUUGACCAUUAUUUUCAGCUUUGUGAUACACUUUCAAAGAGUCGGAUUGUUUGGGAAUGCAGUCCGAAAUGGGUGGUAAAUUUCAUCUAAAGCUAAAUAUUGGCGAGAGACCGAUAGCGAACAAGUACCGUGAGGGAAAGAUGAAAAGAACUUUGAAAAGAGAGUUAAACAGUACGUGAAAUUGUCAAAAGGGAAGCGUUUGACACCAGUGUUGUUUUCCUCGAAAAUCAAUUAAAAAUGGCUCGAUUUUGUAUUGCUGAGACCUUAAAAGCUCACUGUACAUUUUUCGUGUCUUUUUUAAUGCACUUUUCGUUUAACAAGUCAACAUCAGUUUCUUUUGUUGUAAAAGGGUCAUUGGAAGGUGGCUUUCUUUUCGGAGAAAGUGUUUAUAGGCCUUUGGCCUCUGCAAUCGGAGAGACUGAGGUCUGCAGCGUAGACUCUUCGGGGUUAGAUACAUUUGUGCUAAGUUAUAGCUUUUUAUAGACAACUUGUUGACUAUAAUUAGUCUUGUAGCUUACUCGCUUAUGCUAUUUUACCUACGCUUAGGAUGUUGACGCAUGAGAUAUACGC
RNAcentral lists this ribosomal RNA (776 nucleotides) under uncultured Neocallimastigales. RNAcentral's name for it is "partial large subunit ribosomal RNA". It matches the Rfam family "Eukaryotic large subunit ribosomal RNA", at positions 26 to 645 of the family's 3401-position model. The record is from RNAcentral. Lineage: Eukaryota; Fungi; Neocallimastigomycota; Neocallimastigomycetes; Neocallimastigales.